This 164-nucleotide ribosomal RNA is filed under the name uncultured bacterium. RNAcentral describes it as "partial 16S rRNA". It matches the Rfam family "Bacterial small subunit ribosomal RNA", at positions 355 to 511 of the family's 1533-position model. The record is from RNAcentral.
UAGGGAAUCUUCCACAAUGGACGCAAGUCUGAUGGAGCAACGCCGCGUGAGUGAAGAAGAUCUUCGGAUCGUAAAACUCUGUUGUUAGAGAAGAACAUGCGAGAGAGUAACUGUUCUUGUAUUGACGGUAUCUAACCAGAAAGCCACGGCUAACUACGUGCCAG